Molecule: ribosomal RNA, 444 nt
Filed under: Perlodes mortoni
Lineage: Eukaryota; Metazoa; Arthropoda; Insecta; Plecoptera; Perlodidae
Description: partial 16S ribosomal RNA
Rfam family: Archaeal large subunit ribosomal RNA
Source: RNAcentral
GUCCUCAGGAUAAUAAUUUGAGGUUUGACCUGCCCACUGAACAUAAUAUGUUUGAAGGGCCGCGGUAUUUUGACCGUGCAAAGGUAGCAUAAUCAUUAGUCUUUUAAUUGAAGGCUUGUAUGAAUGGUUGGACGAGGUAUUGACUGUCUCAGUGUAAAUGAUAUUAGAAUUUAACUUUUAAGUCAAAAGGCUUAAAUUUAUUUAGAGGACGAGAAGACCCUAUAGAGCUUUAUAUUAAAUGUUUAUUUUUUCGUUUAGAAGUAGUUUGUAAAUAAUCAAGAUAAUAUUUGGUUGGGGUGACGGGAAGAUAGAAUAAACUCUUCUUAAAAUAUUAACAUUGAUUUAUGAGUAAUUGAUCCAUUAUUAGUGAUUAUAAGACUAAGUUACCUUAGGGAUAACAGCGUAAUCUUUUUUGAGAGUUCUUAUCGACAAAAAGGGUUGCGA